This 253-nucleotide ribosomal RNA is filed under the name uncultured bacterium. RNAcentral's name for it is "partial 16S ribosomal RNA". It matches the Rfam family "Bacterial small subunit ribosomal RNA", at positions 524 to 776 of the family's 1533-position model. The record is from RNAcentral.
UACGGGGGGGGCAAGCGUUGUUCGGAAUUACUGGGCGUAAAGGGUUCGUAGGUGGCUUGCUAAGUCAGACGUGAAAUCCCUCAGCUUAACUGGGGAACUGCGUCUGAUACUGGCGAGCUUGAGUGCAGGAGAGGAACGCAGAAUUCCAGGUGUAGCGGUGAAAUGCGUAGAUAUCAGGAGGAACACCGGUGGCGAAGGCGGCUUUCUGGACAGAAACUGACGCUGAGGCGCGAAAGCUAGGGGAGCAAACAGG